This 119-nucleotide ribosomal RNA is filed under the name Pteropus alecto (black flying fox). The record is from RNAcentral. Lineage: Eukaryota; Metazoa; Chordata; Mammalia; Chiroptera; Pteropodidae.
GUCUACAGCCAUGCCACUUUGAACAUGCCCAAUCUCGGCUGAUCUCGAAAGCUAAGCAGGGUCGGGCCUGGUUAGUACUUGGAUGAGAGACCACCUAGGAAGACCAGGUGCUGUAGUCG